RNAcentral lists this ribosomal RNA (164 nucleotides) under Warneckea madagascariensis. Its description in RNAcentral is "5.8S ribosomal RNA". It matches the Rfam family "5.8S ribosomal RNA". Rfam says of the family: 5.8S ribosomal RNA (5.8S rRNA) is a component of the large subunit of the eukaryotic ribosome. It is transcribed by RNA polymerase I as part of the 45S precursor that also contains 18S and 28S rRNA. Lineage: Eukaryota; Viridiplantae; Streptophyta; Magnoliopsida; Myrtales; Melastomataceae. RNAcentral also lists the same sequence under 1 other name. The record is from RNAcentral.
AAAAUGACUCUCGGCAACGGAUAUCUCGGCUCUUGCAUCGAUGAAGAACGUAGCGAAAUGCGAUACUUGGUGUGAAUUGCAGAAUCCCGUGAACCAUCGAGUCUUUGAACGCAAGUUGCGCCCGAAGCCAUUUGGUUGAGGGCACGCCUGCCUGGGUGUCGUGA